CAUAUCAAUAAGCGGAGGAAAAGAAACCAACAGGGAUUGCCUUAGUAACGGCGAGUGAAGCGGCAACAGCUCAAAUUUGAAAUCUGGCCCUCGGGUCCGAAUUGUAAUUUGUAGAGGAUGAUUUUGGUGCGGUAUCUUCCGAGUUCCUUGGAACAGGACGCCUUAGAGGGUGAGAGCCCCGUACGGUUGAAUGCCUAGCCUCUGUAAAUCUCCUUCGACGAGUCGAGUAGUUUGGGAAUGCUGCUCUAAAUGGGAGGUAAAUUUCUUCUAAAGCUAAAUAUUGGCCAGAGACCGAUAGCGCACAAGUAGAGUGAUCGAAAGAUGAAAAGCACUUUGAAAAGAGGGUUAAAUAGCACGUGAAAUUGUUGAAAGGGAAGGAUUUGUGACCAGACUUUUUCUGGGCGGAUCAUCCGGGGUUCUCUCCGGUGCACUUUGCCCAGUAAAGGCCAGCAUCGAUUUUCGGCGGCGGAUAAAAGCAGUGGGAAUGUGGCUCCCUACGGGGAGUGUUAUAGCCCAUUGUAUAAUACGCUGCUGGGGAUCGAGGUACGCGCUUCUGCAAGGAUGCUGGCGUAAUGGUUAUCAAUCACCCGUCUUGAAACACGGACCAAGGAGUCGAACAUUUAUGCGAGUGUUUGGGUGUUAAACCCUCACGCGUAAUGAAAGUGAACGGAGGUGAGAGCCCGUACGGGUGCAUCAUCGACCGAUCCUGAAGUUUUCGGAUGGAUUUGAGUAAGAGCAUAACUGUUCGGACCCGAAAGAUGGUGAACUAUGCGUGGAUAGGGUGAAGCCAGAGGAAACUCUGGUGGAGGCUCGCAGCGGUUCUGACGUGCAAAUCGAUCGUCAAAUCUGCGCAUGGGGGCGAAAGACUAAUCGAACCAUCUAGUAGCUGGUUAC
This 894-nucleotide ribosomal RNA is filed under the name Pestalotiopsis adusta. RNAcentral describes it as "LSU rRNA". It matches the Rfam family "Eukaryotic large subunit ribosomal RNA", at positions 39 to 958 of the family's 3401-position model. The record is from RNAcentral. Lineage: Eukaryota; Fungi; Ascomycota; Sordariomycetes; Amphisphaeriales; Sporocadaceae.